CUCUGAGCUGGACCCUCACUGCCCCACACUCCCCUUUACAGUGCCCUCACUGCCCCACUCACCUCUGUGCAGGCACAUCACUUCCCAGCAUCUCCACUCUCCUCUGUGCAGCCCCUCACUGGCCCACUCUCCUCUUUGCAGGCCCUCACUGACCCCUCUCCUCCAUGCAGUCCCCUCACUGCUGCACUCUCCUCUGCAGUUCCCUCACUCCCAGUCAGCCCCACUCUUGUCUGUGCAGGCCCCUCAAUGCCCCACUCUUCUAUGUGCAGUCCCCUUACUGCCCCACUUUUCUCUAGCGUUCCCCUCACUGCUCCAUUCCUCAUUGUGUGGUCCCGUCACUACACCACUCUCCUCCGUGUGGUCCCCUCACUGGCCCACUCUCCUCUGUGUGUUCCCAUCACUGGCCCACUCUCCUCUCUGCGUUGCCCUCACUGGCCCACUCUCCACCGUGCUGCCCCUCACUGGCCCACUUUCCUCUGUGCUGCCUCUCACUGCCCCAUUCUCCCCUGCACCAUUCUGAAGCCUCCUCACUGGCCCACUCUCAUCUAUGCAGUCCCCUCACUACCGCAAUCUCCUGUGUACAGUACCCUCAUUGCCCCACUCUUCUCUGUGCAGUCCCGUCAUUUCCCCAGUCCCCUCUGUGAAGGCCCCUCACAUCCCAUCAGCUCCACUCUCCUCUGUGCAGGCCCCUCACUGGGCCACUCUCCUCUGUGCAGGCCCCUCACUGCCCAUCAGCACCACACUCCUCUGUGCAGGCUCCUUACUGGCCCACUCUCCUCUGUCCAGGCCCCACAAUGCCCAUCAGCACCACUCUCCUCUGUGCAGGCCCCUCAAUGCCCCACUCUGCUCUGCGCCAAACUCUCACUGCCCCACUCUGAUCCGUGCAGUCCACUCACUACCCCACUCUCCAGUUCCCUCACUGCCCCACUCUUCUCUGUGCGGUCCCCUCACUGGCCCACUCUCCUCUGUGCUGCUCCUCACUGGACCACUCUCCUCUCUGAAGUACCCUUACUUCCCCCUCUCCUCUUUGCAGUUCCCUCACUGCCCCACUCUUCUCCAUACAGUGCCACCACUGCUCCACCCUCCUCUGCACCACUCUGGAGCCCCCUCACUGGCCCACUCUCAUCUGUGCAGUCCUAUCACUGCCUCAUUCUCCUCUGCACCACUCUGCAUCACCCUCACUGGCCCAACCUCAUUUGUGCAGUCCAAUCACUGCCCAACACACCUCUGUACAGUACCCUCACUGCCCAACAUACCCACUCUCCUCUGUGCAGUGCCCUCAUUGCCACACCCUCCUCUAUGCUGAACCCUCACUGCCCCACACUCCUCUUUACAGUACACUCACUGCCCCACUCUCAUCCCUACAGUCCUCUCAGUGCCCCACUCUCCUCUGCACCAUACCCUCCCUGCCCCACUCUCCUCUUUACAGUACACUCACUGCCCCACUCUCAUCGGUACAGUCCUCUCACUGCCCCACUCU
Long non-coding RNA from Ictalurus punctatus (channel catfish), 1480 nucleotides. The record is from Ensembl. Lineage: Eukaryota; Metazoa; Chordata; Actinopteri; Siluriformes; Ictaluridae.